RNAcentral lists this ribosomal RNA (540 nucleotides) under uncultured Gammaproteobacteria bacterium. RNAcentral's name for it is "partial 16S ribosomal RNA". Lineage: Bacteria; Pseudomonadati; Pseudomonadota; Gammaproteobacteria. The record is from RNAcentral.
UUACCGCGGCUGCUGGCACGGAGUUAGCCGGUGCUUAUUCAUUAGAUACCGUCAGCUGCCAUGGGUUAUUAACCCAGGCCAUUUCUUCUCUAAUAAAAGUGCUUUACAACCCGCAGGCCUUCUUCACACACGCGGCAUUGCUGGAUCAGGCUUUCGCCCAUUGUCCAAUAUUCCCCACUGCUGCCUCCCGUAGGAGUCCGGGCCGUGUCUCAGUCCCGGUGUGGCUGAUCAUCCUCUCAGACCAGCUACCGAUCGUCGCCUUGGUAGGCCUUUACCCCACCAACUAGCUAAUCGGACGUAGGCUCAUCUAGCAGUGUGAGCUUUCAAGAAGAGGCCCACUUUCCUCCGUAGAGCGUAUGCGGUAUUAAUCCGAGUUUCCCCGGGCUAUCCCCCGCUGCUAGGCAGAUUCCUACGUGUUACUCACCCGUCCGCCACUCGACAGCACCUGACGCACCCCGAAGGGAUUGUCCGGCCUGUUUCCGUUCGACUUGCAUGUGUUAGGCAUGCCGCCAGCGUUCAAUCUGAGCCAGGAUCAAACUC